CCUACGGGAGGCAGCAGUGAGGAAUAUUGGUCAAUGGACGAGAGUCUGAACCAGCCAAGUAGCGUGAAGGAUGACUGCCCUAUGGGUUGUAAACUUCUUUUAUAUGGGAAUAAAAUGUUCCACGUGUGGGCUUUUGUAUGUACCAUAUGAAUAAGGAUCGGCUAACUCCGUGCCAGCAGCCGCGGUAAUACGGAGGAUCCGAGCGUUAUCCGGAUUUAUUGGGUUUAAAGGGUGCGUAGGGGGAUGGUUAAGUCAGUUGUGAAAGUUUGGGGCUCAACCGUAGAAUUGCAGUUGAAACUGGCAGUCUUGAGUGCAGUAGAGGUGGGCGGAAUGCGUGGUGUAGCGGUGAAAUGCUUAGAUAUCACGAAGAACUCCGAUUGCGAAGGCAGCUCACUGGACUGCAACUGACACUGAGGCUCGAAAGUGUGGGUAUCAAACAGGAUUAGAUACCCGGGUAGUC
RNAcentral lists this ribosomal RNA (460 nucleotides) under uncultured bacterium. Its description in RNAcentral is "partial 16S ribosomal RNA". It matches the Rfam family "Bacterial small subunit ribosomal RNA", at positions 338 to 795 of the family's 1533-position model. The record is from RNAcentral.